RNAcentral lists this long non-coding RNA (403 nucleotides) under Marmota monax (woodchuck). The record is from RNAcentral. Lineage: Eukaryota; Metazoa; Chordata; Mammalia; Rodentia; Sciuridae.
UUAACAACUGAAGUUCCCACCAGACAAGCCUAUGGAGCCCUCCAAUAUUGGCAUCAGGCAUAGCUUGAUAAAAUAAGUCACUUUCCACAGCCUUGAUAAAACUCAGAGUGAAGUCACUGUCAUUUGACUUUGCACUCAUAUAGUCAGAAGCGAGAGAUCAGGGCAGAAACCACCAGACCAGAUGUCCUGACCCUAGAAUGAAAAAUUUCGCUGAGAAACCAGGUAAUGGCUGAUAGGGAUUGAAAGGGCGAGUAGAAGUCCCAAAAUUCAGCAUAAAUGAUGGAGCAAAUGAACAGACAUUCAGCCAGCUGACACUGAUGCCCACAUGCCAGAGAGCCUGAUGAGGACCUGGAUGGACAUCCCAACUCUUCUCAUCAUUUGCCUGAUCCUCUGCAUUGUCCUC